CCUACGGGUGGCAGCAGUGAGGAAUAUUGGUCAAUGGCCGGAAGGCUGAACCAGCCAUGCCGCGUGAAGGUCAGUGCCCUAUGGGCGUUAAACCUCUUUUGUGCGGGAGCAAUAAUGGUCACGUGUGGCCAGGCGAGAGUAACGUACGAAUAAGCAUCGGCUAACUCCGUGCCAGCAGCCGCGGUAAUACGGGGGAUGCAAGCGUUAUCCGGAUUUAUUGGGUUUAAAGGGUGUGUAGCCGGGAAGGCAAGUCCGAUGUGAAAUCCGGAGGCUCAACCUCCGAAUUGCAUUUGAAACUGGUGUUCUUGAGUGAUGGAGAGGCAGGCGGAAUGCCUUGUGUAGCGGUGAAAUGCGUAGAUAUAAGGAGGAACACCAGUGGCGAAGGCGGUCUGCUGGACAGCAACUGACGGUGAGGCGCGAAAGCGUGGGGAGCAAACAGGAUUAGAUACCCUUGUAGUC
RNAcentral lists this ribosomal RNA (459 nucleotides) under uncultured bacterium. RNAcentral describes it as "partial 16S ribosomal RNA". It matches the Rfam family "Bacterial small subunit ribosomal RNA", at positions 338 to 795 of the family's 1533-position model. The record is from RNAcentral.